ACUCCUGCGGGAGGCAGCAGUGGGGAAUAUUGCACAAUGGGCGCAAGCCUGAUGCAGCCAUGCCGCGUGUAUGAAGAAGGCCUUCGGGUUGUAAAGUACUUUCAGCGGGGAGGAAGGCGAUAAGGUUAAUAACCUUGUCGAUUGACGUUACCCGCAGAAGAAGCACCGGCUAACUCCGUGCCAGCAGCCGCGGUAAUACGGAGGGUGCAAGCGUUAAUCGGAAUUACUGGGCGUAAAGCGCACGCAGGCGGUCUGUCAAGUCGGAUGUGAAAUCCCCGGGCUCAACCUGGGAACUGCAUUCGAAACUGGCAGGCUAGAGUCUUGUAGAGGGGGGUAGAAUUCCAGGUGUAGCGGUGAAAUGCGUAGAGAUCUGGAGGAAUACCGGUGGCGAAGGCGGCCCCCUGGACAAAGACUGACGCUCAGGUGCGAAAGCGUGGGGAGCAAACAGGAUUAGAAACCCGUGUAGUCCC
Molecule: ribosomal RNA, 470 nt
Filed under: uncultured organism
Description: partial 16S ribosomal RNA
Rfam family: Bacterial small subunit ribosomal RNA
Source: RNAcentral